This is a long non-coding RNA of Felis catus (domestic cat), 1492 nucleotides long. RefSeq lists it as uncharacterized. The record is from RefSeq and is a predicted model, not a curated record. The transcript is spliced from 3 exons. NCBI's taxonomy places the organism in Eukaryota, Metazoa, Chordata, Mammalia, Carnivora, Felidae.
ACCGACUGAGUCACCUAGGCAGACCAUCAUCAUUUUACUUUUAUAGGUGAGGAAACAGAUACAGACAGAAACUAAGUAGCUUGAUGAAAAUUUAUAGGUGGCAGAGCUAGGAUUUGAACUCAGAUAUUUCAGUUCUGGAAUCUGUGCUCUGAACCACUGAGCUUUAUAUCCUCUUGUGCAACUUCCGGAGAUGAUUUACUUACAAUAAUAGCAUGGUUUGACGAAGAGCUUAAUAAAUGUCUGUAUUCCCAUUUCUGGUAAGAUUUGACUUCAAGUCCAGUGCACUUUGUACUUUAUUAAGAGGAAAAGAGCCAAGAGCUUCUAAGGAAAUGAAUUGCUUUUUCAAAGCCAAGAAUUAUAGAUGUCAAUUUAAAUUUCCAUAGUUUUGUGAAUUCCAUAAAUUAAAAAGGGCAUUUUCUAUCUGAAGAUUUUACAAGUUUGGUUAUGCAUGUGAUUCUCCAACCCCUUUGAAAGAUGUAGUUACCCCAUUUGACACUAUCUUUCUCACUGAUUGUGUAAUUCCUGAGUUUCGUUGUAUUUUCUUAUAAACCAGUUUGACUAAUGUUCUGCAGCUCUAUUUUUUACCUAGUCUCUGCUUUCUGCUAUUGUGGUGGGCUCCUCUUUGUUUGUUUUCUGUUGUUGAGGGCAGGGAGGGGCCUCUCCCCUGUGCUGAUGUCCUUAGGAGGCCACUCUGAGUUUCCCUUCCCCACAGCCUCAGGCUGGCUCUCGCAUAAUAAUAGACAGUGCUGGUAGCCGCCACAGGACCUGGGGAAAAACAUUCCAAUUCUCCUGUCAACUGUGUCUGAAUUUCUUUUUUAAAACAGAAAUCUCUGACAGAUCUCACCAUGGACCUCUGAUUAGCUAGAUGACAUGUAGAUAAGAUUUCAGGACCUACUACAGAAAACGGAAUCCCGGGGUCUGUCACCAGUCUAGUUUUCCUGCUGCAACUUCUUCAUUUGGAUGUGUCAAGAGGGCAAAUCUCUAACAAAGGAACUCCAGCGAGAGCAACUGCAAAGCCCACCACAAGGCAGAAGACACGGUCGGAAAUAGACGUGAUAAUGACAAUAGCAGAGGCUCCAGUGAGAACCAAUGUGUCUAGAAUGUGCACCUCCUUCAGUACCUGUAUACUUCCAGUACUCAUUGCUAUAAGACAUCUUCACAUAGUGAUCUGACCUUGGGCCUUGCCCCUUCGUACCAGCAUGAUGAAUCAGGAGAGCAGACUAUUCUUGGAACCAUUCCUCCACCAGAACAGAGUAGAAAGGAAGAAGAGAUGAGUGAAAGAAAAGUAGGGAGAUGAAGGAAGAAGAAAAUAUAUUGUUUUGAGAUAAUUUCUGUGUACAUCUGUCCUAAAAAAGGAGAUAGGUAAGUGGUAUUUCAUAAUCUUCCUACAGUACCAUAUUCCCACAUUGAUAAAUGAAUAUAUUUAGAAUUUAAGCACAAUGUUGUUUUUUAAAUUUAUUUUCAUUUAUUUAUUUAAUAUGAAAUUGAUUGU